AACCCGACAGAAUCUUCAUCCGCGUGUCCAUUCUGACAGGAUGUACAGUAGUAUAUGACCUGGGGUUAUUUCCACUGUCAUUUUAUAGAAGGUAAAAUACGCUGGAAUCUUCCCAGACCGGAGAAUGUGCAAGUCUGGAAAAGUUACCGACGUGACAGCUUUCCGGUUAGUGAUGACUAAUAAAAAAAAAAAAUCCACUCAGUCUGAACAGUGUUUAAGUUCAAGCCGGGGGGCUCUAAUUAAACGCUGACACUUGGAACGACAGGAGGAGCACAACGUGGACUUCGUACAGCAUGGUUCUUUAGGACUUCGGACGGCUCCAAGUCGUUGACCUGCAGGAGUGAACUGUAGUGACGACUCGCACGCACGCGCACGCAGCUGUGGACAGCGGACAAACAUCAAACCCUGACGGUUUACCAGGCUUCACCGAUCCCGUACCGUGCUCGUCGUCGGUGUGAGCGACGUGGAUCGCGCGCUCGUCCAGGCUGAAGUAGAGGAAAUGGAGGCCUCGGCGUCGGUGUAAAGGGGAUUCCAUCGACCCCUUCGACUCUCAAGACUCAUCCCUGGAUCCUGACUUGCCUUCUUCACUCCCGACGAAUAGUCUGGGUUUGAGGGCUUAAAUAAAUGAUUCUUUUUAUUGAAUUAACAUUUGAAAAGAGGAGCGGUUGAUCACGUUUGUCCACUCAAGAAAGGAUUUUUAAUUUCAAAGUUGCUCUGAUGUCCACUUUGUCCUCUUACGCUCGGCGUGAUGACCUCAACAAUAUUAGACGUUAAGUCCUAUGAGAUCACGUCACCGGCCCCCCACAUGCUCCAAAUUCACCCUAACGGAAAUUUGAAGAAUAUAUUGGCGAAUAUAUUCACCGCUUAUCAAAUCUAGGCAAACAAUAUGAUUGAAAAGUAAACUAUACAUUUAAAAUAAUAAUAAUAAUAAUAAUAAUAAUAAUAAUACUAAUAAUAAUAAUUUAAAGAAUGUCCUUGUUGGUGUUAAUCUGACAUUGAUCCUGUCCUCUAGGUCCUCUUCUGUUUCAGUUAACUGGUGCCUUCUUUAAAAAAAAAUUAUAUUUAUUUAUUUAUUUUAAAUCAUACCACUGUUCUACCGCUCUUCUUUCUGAAUCUUUCUCUCUUUCUUAUCUCCUCCAUACAUCCUCCCACCUGCCUCCCUCUAUCUCCCUCCCGUCGCUCUUCCUGCCUUUCCGCGCGUGCUGAUUGUCGCGCUUUUCAUUCUUCGUCCUCUGUAUUGGCUUUUGUUUUGGGAACAAAGGGCGCGUAAUGUCCUCAUCUUUUCCAUCUGUCACUCAGUCGGGGGGAAUGACUGAGAGGCGGAAGAUGACGAGAGACAGGGAGAGAGUGAGGAGGAAGGAUGCGGCCGUUUGAUUUCGGGAGCACUGCUUCAUUUCCCCUCAGCUCUCUGUGCGACUGCUCCGUAGACACAGACACGGCGAGGGAUCGGAGCUCCGGCGAGCUUCCUCCUGGAAAUUUACCACAGUGCUGCUGUGCUUCCAAAAAGCCUGUAGUUAACGACAGACCACAUGUCCUGCCUGGAACCGUACUCUGUUGUCAUAUUUGGCACCACGCAGCAUGAGAACUAGGAUAUGAAGUCGGACGAUUUCCUGCGCAGCGGCAUGUACAUGUAUGUGUUUGCGAUUGCGAGCGUUAAUUACGAACAGUGUCUAAUUAUGCUUUCAAUCUCACUACAGUCCUGCUCCACAUGCUCCAAACCAAAACAGUAGUGGGAAAUCUUCGAGCAGCAGGACAGAAAUGAUCUCUGACGGUCAUGAGCGGCC
Long non-coding RNA from Ictalurus punctatus (channel catfish), 1784 nucleotides. The record is from Ensembl. NCBI's taxonomy places the organism in Eukaryota, Metazoa, Chordata, Actinopteri, Siluriformes, Ictaluridae.